This 335-nucleotide ribosomal RNA is filed under the name uncultured Pseudomonadota bacterium. RNAcentral describes it as "bacterial SSU rRNA". It matches the Rfam family "Bacterial small subunit ribosomal RNA", at positions 29 to 351 of the family's 1533-position model. The record is from RNAcentral. Lineage: Bacteria; Pseudomonadati; Pseudomonadota.
AGCGAACGUUAGCGGCGGGCUUAACACAUGCAAGUCGAGCGAGAAAGUGGCUUCGGCCAUCAGUAAAGCGGCGGACGGGUGAGUAACACGUAGGUAAUCUUCCCUUGAGCGGGGGACAACAGGCCGAAAGGCCUGCUAAUACCGCAUACGUUUCUUGGGUCUCUGGACCUGGGAAGGAAAGCUAGGCCGCAAGGUCCGGCACUCGAGGAGGAGCCUGCGUCGCAUCAGCUAGUUGGUGGGGUAAUGGCCUACCAAGGCGAAGACGCGUAGCUGGUCUGAGAGGAUGAUCAGCCACACUGGGACUGAGACACGGCCCAGACUCCUACGGGAGGCAG